UUUAUUUAAAAGAAAAUAUAAACUAGACCAAAAAGUAGAAAAGAACAUUACCUUGGCAUGAUGAAUAAAAAUAUUAACAGAGGACUUUAUAAGCAGAAAUCUUGAUACAAAACUUACAUUUCGGGUAGGGGGGAAAAUUUAAGAUUGAAAAGGAAAUGAAUCACCCAACCAAAUUAUUAUAUAUAUAUGCCUCAAAAAACCCAGCAUCACAAACAAUUAAUGGAUCGCUUAUAUAUAUAGUUAAGUAUAUAUUGUCAUGUCCAUUUGAGUUGCCUUGCUGGUGGAUUUUGUUGAUAGGACCGAAGCCUUGGAUACUGGCAGUGGCCGUCUCAAGAAAUGCGGAUGCCAUUUGAGUUGGUUCUCCUUGAACUGCCGGAUGAUCGAGUUGAUAUGUUUUUCCCUUCCAUUUUCCGGUCCUUUUCCUUUCUCUCCCCUUCUUGUGGUUUUAUGUUUCUUCAAAUCUUGAGGAAUUUAUUUGUAAGGAAUUUAACUUGGAAUAAUAUGACAUACACAAAAAGUAGAACUCAUAUAUCUUAAUCUUAU
This 543-nucleotide long non-coding RNA is filed under the name Panax ginseng (ginseng). Its description in RNAcentral is "long non-coding RNA (PGIN_LNC013934)". Lineage: Eukaryota; Viridiplantae; Streptophyta; Magnoliopsida; Apiales; Araliaceae. The record is from RNAcentral.